UACGUAAGGGGCAAGCGUUGUCCGGAAUCAUUGGGCGUAAAGAGCGUGUAGGCGGCCCGGUCAGUCCGCCGUGAAAGUCCAGGGCUCAAUCCUGGAAUGCCGGUGGAUACUGCCGGGCUGGAGUCCGGAAGAGGCGAGUGGAAUUCCUGGUGUAGCGGUGAAAUGCGCAGAUAUCAGGAGGAACACCGAUGGCGAAGGCAGCUCGCUGGGACGGUACUGACGCUGAGACGCGAAAGCGUGGGGAGCAAACAGG
RNAcentral lists this ribosomal RNA (253 nucleotides) under uncultured bacterium. RNAcentral describes it as "partial 16S ribosomal RNA". It matches the Rfam family "Bacterial small subunit ribosomal RNA", at positions 524 to 776 of the family's 1533-position model. The record is from RNAcentral.